CUACGGGGCGCUCCAGUGGGGAAUAUUGCACAAUGGGGGAAACUCUGAUGCAGCAACGCCGCGUGGAGGAUGACACUUUUCGGAGCGUAAACUCCUUUUAUAUAGGAAGAAGAUGACGGUACUAUAUGAAUAAGCGCCGGUUAACUCCGUGCCAGCAGCCGCGGUAAUACGGAGGGCGCAAGCGUUACUCGGAAUCACUGGGCGUAAAGAGCGUGUAGGCGGAUUAAAAAGUCAGAAGUGAAAUCCUAUAGCUUAACUAUAGAACUGCUUUUGAAACUCUUAAUCUAGAAUAUGGGAGAGGUAGAUGGAAUUUCUGGUGUAGGGGUAAAAUCCGUAGAGAUCAGAAGGAAUACCGAUUGCGAAGGCGAUCUACUAGAACAUUAUUGACGCUGAGACGCGAAAGCGUGGGGAGCAAACAGGAUUAGAUACCCGCGUAGUC
RNAcentral lists this ribosomal RNA (439 nucleotides) under uncultured bacterium. RNAcentral's name for it is "partial 16S ribosomal RNA". It matches the Rfam family "Bacterial small subunit ribosomal RNA", at positions 339 to 795 of the family's 1533-position model. The record is from RNAcentral.